RNAcentral lists this microRNA precursor (64 nucleotides) under Bos taurus (domestic cattle). RNAcentral's name for it is "microRNA bta-mir-2284e precursor". Lineage: Eukaryota; Metazoa; Chordata; Mammalia; Artiodactyla; Bovidae. The record is from miRBase by way of RNAcentral.
GCCAACAAGUUCGUUCGGAUUUUUCCAUAUGAGGUUAUGCGAAAACCUGAACAAACAUUUUGGC